CCUACGGGCGGCAGCAGUGGGGAAUAUUGGGCAAUGGUCGCAAGCCUGACCCAGCAACGCCGCGUGAAGGAGGAAGGCUUUCGGGUUGUAAACUUCUUUUCUGAGGGACGAAGAAAGUGACGGUACCUCAGGAAUAAGCCACGGCUAACUACGUGCCAGCAGCCGCGGUAAUACGUAGGUGGCAAGCGUUCUCCGGAUUUAUUGGGUGUAAAGGGCGUGUAGGCGGGAAAGCAAGUCAGAUGUGAAGACUCAGGGCUCAACCCUGAGCCUGCAUUUGAAACUGUUUGUCUUGAGUGCUGGAGAGGCAAUCGGAAUGCCGUGUGUAGCGGUGAAAUGCGUAGAUAUAGGGAGGAACACCAGUGGCGAAGGCGGAUUGCUGGACAGUAACUGACGUUGAGGCUCGAAAGCGUGGGGAGCAAACAGGAUUAGAUACCCGAGUAGUC
RNAcentral lists this ribosomal RNA (443 nucleotides) under uncultured bacterium. RNAcentral describes it as "partial 16S ribosomal RNA". It matches the Rfam family "Bacterial small subunit ribosomal RNA", at positions 338 to 795 of the family's 1533-position model. The record is from RNAcentral.